GUCCCUUCGGGGCAUCCGAUAAAAUUGGAAGGAUACAGAGAAGAUUAGCAUGGCCCCUACGCAAGGAUGACAGGCACAAAUCGAGAAAUGAUCCAAAUUUUU
Molecule: non-coding RNA, 102 nt
Organism: Triticum aestivum (bread wheat)
Lineage: Eukaryota; Viridiplantae; Streptophyta; Magnoliopsida; Poales; Poaceae
Source: Rfam